Phrynosoma platyrhinos (Desert horned lizard) is the source of this 72-nucleotide non-coding RNA. NCBI's taxonomy places the organism in Eukaryota, Metazoa, Chordata, Lepidosauria, Squamata, Phrynosomatidae. The record is from the annotation of a GenBank genome assembly.
GCCAGCAUGAUUUAGUUGUUUGAGCAUUAGACUAUGACUCUAAAGACCAGGGUUCAAAUCCCAGUUUAGUCA